GGGACAUGUUCUUUAGACAAUGUAGCAAGGUGGUAUACACCACAGGGUCAUGUUCUUUAGACGAUGUAGCAAGGUGGUAUACACCACAGGGACAUGUUCUUUAGACGAUGUAGCAAGGUGGUAUACACCACAGGGUCAUGUUCUUUAGACGAUGUAGCAAGGUGGUAUACAACACAGGGACAUGUUCUUUAGGCGAUGUAGCAAGGUGGUAUACACCACAGGGUCAUGUUCUUUAGACGAUGUAGCAAGGUGGUAUACACCACAGGGACAUGCUCUUUAGACGAUGUAGCAAGGUGGUAUACACCACAGGGUCAUGUUCUUUAGACGAUGUAGCAAGGUGGUAUACACCACAGGGACAUGCUCUUUAGACGAUGUAGCAAGGUGGUAUACACCACAGGGACAUGUUCUUUAGACGAUGUAGCAAGGUGGUAUACACCACAGGGACAUGUUCUUUAGAUGAUGUAGCAAGGUGGUAUACAGGGACAUGUUCUUUAGACGAUGUAGCAAGGUGGUAUACAGGGACAUGUUCUUUAGACGAUGUAGCAAGGUGGUAUACACCACAGGGACAUGCUCUUUAGACGAUGUAGCAAGGUGGUAUACACCACAGGGUCAUGUUCUUUAGACGAUGUAGCAAGGUGGUAUACACCACAGGGACAUGUUCUUUAGAUGAUGUAGCAAGGUGGUAUACAGGGACAUGUUCUUUAGACGAUGUAGCAAGGUGGUAUACAGGGACAUGUUCUUUAGACGAUGUAGCAAGGUGGUAUACACCACAGGGACAUGUUCUUUAGAUGAUGUAGCAAGGUGGUAUACACCACAGGGUCAUGUUCUUUAGAUGAUGUAGCAAGGUGGUAUACACCACAGGGUCAUGUUCUUUAGGCGAUGUAGCAAGGUGGUAUACAGGGACAUGUUCUUUAGACGAUGUAGCAAGGUGGUAUACACCACAGGGUCAUGUUCUUUAGACGAUGUAGCAAGGUGGUAUACACCACAGGGUCAUGUUCUUUAGACGAUGUAGCAAGGUGGUAUACACCACAGGGACAUGCUCUUUAGACGAUGUAGCAAGGUGGUAUACACCACAGGGUCAUGUUCUUUAGACGAUGUAGCAAGGUGGUAUACACCACAGGGACAUGUUCUUUAGAUGAUGUAGCAAGGUGGUAUACAGGGACAUGUUCUUUAGACGAUGUAGCAAGGUGGUAUACAGGGACAUGUUCUUUAGACGAUGUAGCAAGGUGGUAUACACCACAGGGACAUGUUCUUUAGAUGAUGUAGCAAGGUGGUAUACACCACAGGGUCAUGUUCUUUAGAUGAUGUAGCAAGGUGGUAUACAGGGACAUGUUCUUUAGACGAUGUAGCAAGGUGGUAUACACCACAGGGUCAUGUUCUUUAGGCGAUGUAGCAAGGUGGUAUACAGGGACAUGUUCUUUAGACGAUGUAGCAAGGUGGUAUACACCACAGGGUCAUGUUCUUUAGACGAUGUAGCAAGGUGGUAUACACCACAGGGUCAUGUUCUUUAGACGAUGUAGCAAGGUGGUAUACACCACAGGGACAUGCUCUUUAGACGAUGUAGCAAGGUGGUAUACACCACAGGGUCAUGUUCUUUAGACGAUGUAGCAAGGUGGUAUACACCACAGGGACAUGUUCUUUAGAUGAUGUAGCAAGGUGGUAUACAGGGACAUGUUCUUUAGACGAUGUAGCAAGGUGGUAUACACCACAGGGACAUGCUCUUUAGACGAUGUAGCAAGGUGGUAUACACCACAGGGUCAUGUUCUUUAGACGAUGUAGCAAGGUGGUAUACACCACAGAGACAUGUUCUUUAGACGAUGUAGCAAGGUGGUAUACACCACAGGGACAUGUUCUUUAGACGAUGUAGCAAGGUGGUAUACACCACAGGGACAUGUUCUUUAGACGAUGUAGCAAGGUGGUAUACACCACAGGGACAUGUUCUUUAGACGAUGUAGCAAGGUGGUAUACACCACAGGGACUUGGUAGCCAUAGAACGUUGUGAUCCUCUAAGAACUAGAACAAGGUGUUCUCAUUCCAAUUCUACUGUUCCAACAGCAAGGUCCUUUCAGUGGAACCCCAUUGGCUGUGUUGUCUAGUGCUUCAGUGAUAGGAAGGGUUUUUCUGUGGAACCCCAUUGGCUGUGUUGUCUAGUGCUUCAGUGAUAGGAAGGGUUUUUCUGUGGAACCCCAUUGGCUGUGUUGUCUAGUGCUUCAGUGAUAGGAAGGGUUUUUCAGUGAUUUUGUGCCUAAUCUUUAUUUGUGCUUUUAUAAUUGUAUUUUUGGUGUUAAGAUAGAUCCUCCUCGCCCCCCUGAGAUACACAUGACGCAGACGGACAGAUGACGGAGGCGUGUGAUAGAUAGAAGAAGAGAAAGGAGAGAGAGUGGGACUGACAUCAAAGAGAAAUAACAUCACAAGGUGUCACACUAACUAACUAACUAACUAAACUAAGCUAUGACUACGUCAUUACUAACUACAGCAUUACUUCACAGCCAAACCAGACACACACACAUACACACACACACACACACAACCAAAC
Molecule: non-coding RNA, 2536 nt
Organism: Oncorhynchus mykiss (rainbow trout)
Lineage: Eukaryota; Metazoa; Chordata; Actinopteri; Salmoniformes; Salmonidae
Source: RefSeq, a predicted model, not a curated record